GAAUAAAUAUGAAAAGUAAAUAAUAUACUGUUACAAAGUAUGUAGUCCUUUAAAAUGCAGAAUCCCAGUUAAACAGAUAUUGCACUCCCUAAGUUCAAAUAUAUUUAAAUCUCAGCAAAUUCUCUGUUCCUAAAAAUCUCAGUAGUGUCUCCAAUAGAUCAUCCAUUCCACCACUUUAGUCCCUUCUUGGUAGCUCUGCCAAGUCACAACGAGCCUUCACAAAGAUGUUCUUGAC
Pelobates cultripes (western spadefoot toad) is the source of this 235-nucleotide non-coding RNA. The record is from the annotation of a GenBank genome assembly. Lineage: Eukaryota; Metazoa; Chordata; Amphibia; Anura; Pelobatidae.